This 473-nucleotide ribosomal RNA is filed under the name uncultured bacterium. RNAcentral's name for it is "bacterial SSU rRNA". It matches the Rfam family "Bacterial small subunit ribosomal RNA", at positions 333 to 793 of the family's 1533-position model. The record is from RNAcentral.
UCACUCCUACGGGGAGGCAGCAGUGGGGGAAUAUUGCACAAUGGGCGCAAGCCUGAUGCAGCCAUGCCGCGUGUGUGAAGAAGGCCUUCGGGUUGUAAAGCACUUUCAGUCGUGAGGAAGGUGGUAGUGUUAAUAGCACUAUCAUUUGACGUUAGCGACAGAAGAAAGCACCGGCUAACUCCGUGCCAGCAGCCGCGGUAAUACGGAGGGUGCGAGCGUUAAUCGGAAUUACUGGGCGUAAAGCGCAUGCAGGUGGUUUGUUAAGUCAGAUGUGAAAGCCCGGGGCUCAACCUCGGAAUAGCAUUUGAAACUGGCAGACUAGAGUACUGUAGAGGGGGGUAGGAAUUUCAGGUGUAGCGGUGAAAUGCGUAGAGAUCUGAAGGAAUACCGGUGGCGAAGGCGGCCCCCUCGGACAGAUACUGACACUCAGAUGCGAAAGCGUGGGGAGCAAACAGGAUUAGAUACCCUGGUAG